This 1049-nucleotide ribosomal RNA is filed under the name Escherichia coli. RNAcentral describes it as "partial 23S ribosomal RNA". It matches the Rfam family "Bacterial large subunit ribosomal RNA", at positions 612 to 1663 of the family's 2925-position model. The record is from RNAcentral. Lineage: Bacteria; Pseudomonadati; Pseudomonadota; Gammaproteobacteria; Enterobacterales; Enterobacteriaceae.
AUAAUGGGUCAGCGACUUAUAUUCUGUAGCAAGGUUAACCGAAUAGGGGAGCCGAAGGGAAACCGAGUCUUAACUGGGCGUUAAGUUGCAGGGUAUAGACCCGAAACCCGGUGAUCUAGCCAUGGGCAGGUUGAAGGUUGGGUAACACUAACUGGAGGACCGAACCGACUAAUGUUGAAAAAUUAGCGGAUGACUUGUGGCUGGGGGUGAAAGGCCAAUCAAACCGGGAGAUAGCUGGUUCUCCCCGAAAGCUAUUUAGGUAGCGCCUCGUGAAUUCAUCUCCGGGGGUAGAGCACUGUUUCGGCAAGGGGGUCAUCCCGACUUACCAACCCGAUGCAAACUGCGAAUACCGGAGAAUGUUAUCACGGGAGACACACGGCGGGUGCUAACGUCCGUCGUGAAGAGGGAAACAACCCAGACCGCCAGCUAAGGUCCCAAAGUCAUGGUUAAGUGGGAAACGAUGUGGGAAGGCCCAGACAGCCAGGAUGUUGGCUUAGAAGCAGCCAUCAUUUAAAGAAAGCGUAAUAGCUCACUGGUCGAGUCGGCCUGCGCGGAAGAUGUAACGGGGCUAAACCAUGCACCGAAGCUGCGGCAGCGACGCUUAUGCGUUGUUGGGUAGGGGAGCGUUCUGUAAGCCUGCGAAGGUGUGCUGUGAGGCAUGCUGGAGGUAUCAGAAGUGCGAAUGCUGACAUAAGUAACGAUAAAGCGGGUGAAAAGCCCGCUCGCCGGAAGACCAAGGGUUCCUGUCCAACGUUAAUCGGGGCAGGGUGAGUCGACCCCUAAGGCGAGGCCGAAAGGCGUAGUCGAUGGGAAACAGGUUAAUAUUCCUGUACUUGGUGUUACUGCGAAGGGGGGACGGAGAAGGCUAUGUUGGCCGGGCGACGGUUGUCCCGGUUUAAGCGUGUAGGCUGGUUUUCCAGGCAAAUCCGGAAAAUCAAGGCUGAGGCGUGAUGACGAGGCACUACGGUGCUGAAGCAACAAAUGCCCUGCUUCCAGGAAAAGCCUCUAAGCAUCAGGUAACAUCAAAUCGUACCCCAAACCGACACAGG